AUUGAACGCUGGCGGCAUGCCUUACACAUGCAAGUCGAACGGCAGCACGGGAGCAAUCCUGGUGGCGAGUGGCGAACGGGUGAGUAAUGUCUGGGAAACUGCCUGAUGGAGGGGGAUAACUACUGGAAACGGUAGCUAAUACCGCAUGACCUCGAAAGAGCAAAGUGGGGGAUCUUCGGACCUCACGCCAUCGGAUGUGCCCAGAUGGGAUUAGCUAGUAAGUGAGGUAAUGGCUCACCUAGGCGACGAUCCCUAGCUGGUCUGAGAGGAUGACCAGCCACACUGGAACUGAGACACGGUCCAGACUCCUACGGGAGGCAGCAGUGGGGAAUAUUGCGCAAUGGGGGGAACCCUGACGCAGCCAUGCCGCGUGAAUGAAGAAGGCCUUAGGGUUGUAAAGUUCUUUCGGUAUUGAGGAAGGUUGAUGUGUUAAUAGCACAUCAAAUUAACGUUAAAUACAGAAGAAGCACCGGCUAACUCCGUGCCAGCAGCCGCGGUAAUACGGAGGGUGCGAGCGUUAAUCGGAAUAACUGGGCGUACAGGGCACGCACGCGGUUUUUUAAGUCAAGUGUGACCGCGUGAGGCUUAACCUCAUUAAGCACUUGAAACUGGAAGACUUGAGUGAAAGAGAGGAAAGUGGAAUUCCUAGUGUAGCGGUGAAAUGCGUAGAUAUUAGGAGGAAUACCGGUGGCGAAGGCGACUUUCUGGACUUUUACUGACGCUCAAGUACGAAAGCGUGGGGAGCAAACACGAUUAGAUACCCUUGUAGUCCAUGGCGAUUUCCACAGUGGGGCUGCAACCCGGGGGAUCUACUAGGUCUAGAGCGUCCGCAGCGCGGGAGCUCCU
RNAcentral lists this ribosomal RNA (846 nucleotides) under uncultured Enterobacteriaceae bacterium. RNAcentral describes it as "bacterial SSU rRNA". It matches the Rfam family "Bacterial small subunit ribosomal RNA", at positions 28 to 847 of the family's 1533-position model. The record is from RNAcentral. Lineage: Bacteria; Pseudomonadati; Pseudomonadota; Gammaproteobacteria; Enterobacterales; Enterobacteriaceae.